AGUGAACGCUGGCGGUAGGCCUAACACAUGCAAGUCGAACGGCAGCACAGUAAGAGCUUGCUCUUACGGGUGGCGAGUGGCGGACGGGUGAGGAAUACAUCGGAAUCUACUUUUUCGUGGGGGAUAACGUAGGGAAACUUACGCUAAUACCGCAUACGACCUACGGGUGAAAGCAGGGGAUCUUCGGACCUUGCGCGAUUGAAUGAGCCGAUGUCGGAUUAGCUAGUUGGCGGGGUAAAGGCCCACCAAGGCGACGAUCCGUAGCUGGUCUGAGAGGAUGAUCAGCCACACUGGAACUGAGACACGGUCCAGACUCCUACGGGAGGCAGCAGUGGGGGAUAUUGGACAAUGGGCGCAAGCCUGAUCCAGCCAUACCGCGUGGGUGAAGAAGGCCUUCGGGUUGUAAAGCCCUUUUGUUGGGAAAGAAAAGCAGCAGGUUGAUACCCCGCUGUUCUGACGGUACCCAAAGAAUAAGCACCGGCUAACUUCGUG
This 492-nucleotide ribosomal RNA is filed under the name uncultured bacterium. RNAcentral's name for it is "partial 16S ribosomal RNA". It matches the Rfam family "Bacterial small subunit ribosomal RNA", at positions 29 to 507 of the family's 1533-position model. The record is from RNAcentral.